Molecule: ribosomal RNA, 207 nt
Filed under: uncultured bacterium
Lineage: Bacteria
Description: partial 16S ribosomal RNA
Rfam family: Bacterial small subunit ribosomal RNA
Source: RNAcentral
AGCGCAGACGGUUUAUUAAGUCUGAUGUGAAGGCCCGGAGCUCAACUCCGGAAUGGCAUUGGAAACUGGUUAACUUGAGUGCAGUAGAGGUAAGUGGAACUCCAUGUGUAGCGGUGGAAUGCGUAGAUAUAUGGAAGAACACCAGUGGCGAAGGCGGCUUACUGGACUGCAACUGACGUUGAGGCUCGAAAGUGUGGGUAGCAAACA